RNAcentral lists this ribosomal RNA (846 nucleotides) under uncultured beta proteobacterium. Its description in RNAcentral is "bacterial SSU rRNA". It matches the Rfam family "Bacterial small subunit ribosomal RNA", at positions 58 to 901 of the family's 1533-position model. Lineage: Bacteria; Pseudomonadati; Pseudomonadota; Betaproteobacteria. The record is from RNAcentral.
CAAGUCGAGCGGCAGCGCGGGGCAACCUGGCGGCGAGCGGCGAACGGGUGAGUAAUGCAUCGGAACGUGUCCAUGUCGUGGGGGAUAGCCCGGCGAAAGCCGGAUUAAUACCGCAUACGCCCGAGAGGGGAAAGUGGGGGACCGCAAGGCCUCACGCGAUUGGUUCGGCCGAUGUCCGAUUAGCUAGUUGGCGGGGUAAAGGCCCACCAAGGCGAUGAUCGGUAGCUGGUCUGAGAGGAUGAUCAGCCACACUGGGACUGAGACACGGCCCAGACUCCUACGGGAGGCAGCAGUGGGGAAUUUUGGACAAUGGGGGCAACCCUGAUCCAGCCAUUCCGCGUGAGUGAAGAAGGCCUUCGGGUUGUAAAGCUCUUUUGUCCGGAACGAAACGGGCGACGUGAAUAUCGUCGUCUACUGACGGUACCGGAAGAAUAAGCACCGGCUAACUACGUGCCAGCAGCCGCGGUAAUACGUAGGGUGCGAGCGUUAAUCGGAAUUACUGGGCGUAAAGCGUGCGCAGGCGGUUUUGUAAGCCAGAUGUGAAAUCCCCGGGCUUAACCUGGGAAUGGCAUUUGGGACUGCAAGGCUGGAGUGCGGCAGAGGAGACUGGAAUUCCUGGUGUAGCAGUGAAAUGCGUAGAUAUCAGGAGGAACACCGAUGGCGAAGGCAGGUCUCUGGGCUGACACUGACGCUCAUGCACGAAAGCGUGGGGAGCAAACAGGAUUAGAUACCCUGGUAGUCCACGCCCUAAACGAUGUCGACUGGUUGUUGGGGGUUUGACACUCUCAGUAACGAAGCUAACGCGUGAAGUCGACCGCCUGGGGAGUACGGCCGCAAGGUUAAACU